RNAcentral lists this ribosomal RNA (1383 nucleotides) under Chryseobacterium sp. RNAcentral describes it as "bacterial SSU rRNA". It matches the Rfam family "Bacterial small subunit ribosomal RNA". The record is from RNAcentral. Lineage: Bacteria; Pseudomonadati; Bacteroidota; Flavobacteriia; Flavobacteriales; Weeksellaceae.
CAUGCAGCCGAGCGGUAUAGUAUCUUCGGAUUUUAGAGAGCGGCGUACGGGUGCGUAACACGUGUGCAACCUACCUUUAUCAGGAGGAUAGCCUUUCGAAAGGAAGAUUAAUACUCCAUAAUAUAUUAGAUGGCAUCAUUUAAUAUUGAAAACUCCGGUGGAUAGAGAUGGGCACGCGCAAGAUUAGAUAGUUGGUGAGGUAACGGCUCACCAAGUCAUUGAUCUUUAGGGGUCCUGAGAGGGAGAUCCCCCACACUGGUACUGAGACACGGACCAGACUCCUACGGGAGGCAGCAGUGAGGAAUAUUGGACAAUGGGUGAGAGCCUGAUCCAGCCAUCCCGCGUGAAGGAUGACGGUCCUACGGAUUGUAAACUUCUUUUGUAUAGGGAUAAACCCAGAUACGUGUAUCUGGCUGAAGGUACUAUACGAAUAAGCACCGGCUAACUCCGUGCCAGCAGCCGCGGUAAUACGGAGGGUGCAAGCGUUAUCCGGAUUUAUUGGGUUUAAAGGGUCCGCAGGCGGGCCGAUAAGUCAGUGGUGAAAUCUCAUAGCUUAACUAUGAAACUGCCAUUGAUACUGUCGGUCUUGAGUAAAUUAGAGGUAGCUGGAAUAAGUAGUGUAGCGGUGAAAUGCAUAGAUAUUACUUAGAACACCAAUUGCGAAGGCAGGUUACCAUGAUUUAACUGACGCUGAGGGACGAAAGCGUGGGGAGCGAACAGGAUUAGAUACCCUGGUAGUCCACGCCGUAAACGAUGCUAACUCGUUUUUGGGGCGCAAGCUUCAGAGACCAAGCGAAAGUGAUAAGUUAGCCACCUGGGGAGUACGUUCGCAAGAAUGAAACUCAAAGGAAUUGACGGGGGCCCGCACAAGCGGUGGAUUAUGUGGUUUAAUUCGAUGAUACGCGAGGAACCUUACCAAGACUUAAAUGGGAAAUGACAGGUUUAGAAAUAGAUCCUUCUUCGGACAUUUUUCAAGGUGCUGCAUGGUUGUCGUCAGCUCGUGCCGUGAGGUGUUAGGUUAAGUCCUGCAACGAGCGCAACCCCUGUCACUAGUUGCUAACAUUCAGUUGAGGACUCUAGUGAGACUGCCUACGCAAGUAGAGAGGAAGGUGGGGAUGACGUCAAAUCAUCACGGCCCUUACGUCUUGGGCCACACACGUAAUACAAUGGCCGGUACAGAGGGCAGCUACACAGCGAUGUGAUGCAAAUCUCGAAAGCCGGUCUCAGUUCGGAUUGGAGUCUGCAACUCGACUCUAUGAAGCUGGAAUCGCUAGUAAUCGCGCAUCAGCCAUGGCGCGGUGAAUACGUUCCCGGGCCUUGUACACACCGCCCGUCAAGCCAUGGAAGUCUGGGGUACCUGAAGUCGGUGACCGUAAAAGGAGC